GGAAUACAGGGCCGCUCUGACAGACGAGCUUCUAGUUCUUCGACAGUGACAGCCGCCCAUACGUGACAGCAGCCAUGACUGAGAUGUCUGGCAUGUCGGAGAUGUCGUCGGUCUCCGGAAUGUCGAGCAUCGGCGGCGGUGACACUGCGGAUC
Molecule: long non-coding RNA, 153 nt
Organism: Ornithodoros turicata
Lineage: Eukaryota; Metazoa; Arthropoda; Arachnida; Ixodida; Argasidae
Exons: 3
Source: RefSeq, a predicted model, not a curated record